Molecule: non-coding RNA, 107 nt
Organism: Salinibacter ruber DSM 13855
Lineage: Bacteria; Pseudomonadati; Rhodothermota; Rhodothermia; Rhodothermales; Salinibacteraceae
Source: Rfam
GAGAGCCGAGGUACGCCGAAAGGUGUACGCCCGGUUCGGGAAGAAGAGGUUGGAGACGGCCUUUAAGGUAUCUGAAGAGAUUAAACGCACCAACCUCUUACUUUCAC